CCGGGCUCUUCCCCGGUUCCAUGUGGAUUAGCAGGACAGACCCUGUUCUGGCCCAGCCAGCCUUGGUGGCUCUAGGGUCGGCUGGUGGGUUUUACCUCCGAAGGGCCCUGGGGACACUCGGGGCACAGGGAGUGGGUGCUUGGGUCAGCUCUCGAGCACCUGUGGCAGGCGGGCGGGCACUCGGCUCAAGCCUACCUGGGUGCGUCCCCCGGUGAGGGGCUCCCAGAGUCACUUCUCCAAGGAGACAUGACGGUGCCCACAGUGGGGACUCCCGGGAUCCCAGCCUGCAGGGGGACUGAGGCGCAGCCGCACGCGGUUCUCCUCCCAGGCCUCGGAGCCGGGAGCUGCACUACUGGGCUCGAGUCUGAGCUCCUGCUGCAGCCGGGCCUCCUGAGGUCCUCCUGUCCGGGCCUCUUUGUCCAGCAGCCCUGCACAGAGUCUGGGGAGCGGGCUCACUCAGACACAUUUUGGAGCCUUCUGCUUGGCCUGGUGGCUUUAGUUUUCUGUCACCGUGGCACAGAGAUGCCCUUUUGUUGGAGCUAAAACUGGCACCAUUUCCACCAGGAGAGGCUUGACUGUCCCCUUCUGUCCUGUCCUUUAUCCGUGCACUUCCUGUGUUCUGGAAUGGACCGGGGACUUCAAGGGGACAGAGGGGCUUUGGGCAGCUCUGCCACCCUGGCACGAGGGGCAGCCGAGCAGUGCUCGUUGGGUACAGGCAGGCCCGGGACACAUUGGAAGGUGGAGCCUGGCUUCCAGGGCGAGGAGGAGCUUCCGUACGGCCCUGGCCAGCCUGAGAUGGGCAGGUCCCUUGGAAAGGCAGGCCCUGCACACCCGGGCCUGGUGCCCGCCCACCCUACCUGGGAGCCAGAAACGACACCCUGGGCACGGGGCACCCCCAGCUUCCCUGCCCCGGCUGUGAAUGGGAGGAGGAGGCACCCGAGUUGGCCUCUGCCCGGGGUCAGGCAUGGCCCUGGACGCUCAGGCCCUGGCCCUGCCCCUCCCUGUGGCGAGUUGCUGCAGCCACGUGGGGUGUGGUGGACAAAGGGGCGGGGCUCCUCUUGGGAGUGGCC
RNAcentral lists this long non-coding RNA (1070 nucleotides) under Marmota monax (woodchuck). The record is from RNAcentral. Lineage: Eukaryota; Metazoa; Chordata; Mammalia; Rodentia; Sciuridae.